CAGUCGCCGCGGUAAUACGAAGGGUGCAAGCGUUACUCGGAAUUACUGGGCGUAAAGCGUGCGUAGGUGGUGGUUUAAGUCCGUUGUGAAAGCCCUGGGCUCAACCUGGGAAUUGCAGUGGAUACUGGGUCACUAGAGUGUGGUAGAGGAUAGUGGAAUUUCCGGUGUAGCAGUGAAAUGCGUAGAGAUCGGAAGGAACAUCUGUGGCGAAGGCGACUCUCUGGGCCAACACUGACACUGAGGCACGAAAGCGUGGGGAGCAAACAGGAUUAGAUACCCCCGUAGUCCCUGUCUCUUAUAC
RNAcentral lists this ribosomal RNA (301 nucleotides) under uncultured bacterium. Its description in RNAcentral is "partial 16S ribosomal RNA". It matches the Rfam family "Bacterial small subunit ribosomal RNA", at positions 509 to 807 of the family's 1533-position model. The record is from RNAcentral.